RNAcentral lists this unclassified non-coding RNA (456 nucleotides) under uncultured fungus. RNAcentral's name for it is "sequence contains ITS2". Lineage: Eukaryota; Fungi. The record is from RNAcentral.
AACGCAUAUUGCACCCUUCGGUAUUCCGGAGGGUACACCUGUUCGAGCGUCAUAUAAACCUUCAAGUUAAACUUGAUGUUGAGGGAUAUUCUAGUAGGAUACCCUUGAAACUUUUAGGCGCCCCCCAGUAAUUUAGGUGCAUCGAACUUUUAAGUACGCACUAAAAAUGAUUGAGGAGUAUGUCAAUAAUUAGUUGGAAAUUUACAUUUUUAGAGGGUACCUUCUAAAUUUUAGUGAGAAACCUUCUUAUUUUUAGUGGGUGACUCACUAAUUUUUAUUUGAUACCUACUAAUUUUGUAAAACUUUUUAAAUUUUUGAAAUUAUUUAGUGGGUACCCCUCUAAAAAUUAUUAGUUUUUAGUGGACCCCCCUAAAAUCUCAAAAUUUACUAAGUAAUAACCCAACUAAAAUCUCAAAAUUUGACCUCGGAUCAGGUGGGAAUACCCGCUGAACUUAA